UCGAAAGAGUUGGUUCUGAAG
This is a non-coding RNA of Caenorhabditis elegans, 21 nucleotides long. NCBI's taxonomy places the organism in Eukaryota, Metazoa, Nematoda, Chromadorea, Rhabditida, Rhabditidae. The record is from Ensembl.